GCUGCUUAGGGCCUCUUGGGAGUCAGUGUUCGGUCACCUGUCCUUGCACAAACCAAGCUUAGUGGCUUCAAUCAGCCAUUUUCCGUUGCUCACAAAUUUGUGAGGCAUUUGGCAUGGGCUCAGCGGAGCUGUCUGAUCUAUGUGGCAUUAACUUCAGGACUCACUUCCAAGAUGGCGCCAGCACUCCUGUCUGGGGCCUCAGUGCCGCUCAAACGGCACCUCCGGCUCAGGGCGUGGCUUGCGCUGCCCGAGAGUGAGCUUCCCGAGAUUGUCUCGAGAGACCCGCUCGGACGCUGGGAGGCUUCCUAUGACCCAGCCUGAGAAAUUCCCUCGUGGCGUUUCUGCUGCACUCUGUUGGUUCAGCAAGUCCCUAGGGUGAGCCCACAUUCAGGGGGAGGUGAGGAGCUCCCUUGCUAGAGGAUGGCCACACCUAAGCUGGCAAGGACUUAGAGGGAUGGAGCGGGCUGGUCCUGGCCAGCUCACCUGGAUUAGGAGUUGAGGGAGGCCCAAGCUUGGCGGAGCGCUGUCGGCUCAGGCUGCCAUAACGAAGUACCUUCAGAGGGAGUUUGUCAGCAAGUGUGUUCUCGGUUCCGGAGCUGCACAUAGGAGAUCAAGGAGGGCGGACAGGAAGGGCCUCUGCAAGCGGCUUGACGUGGGUGUUGCAGCCCACAGGCAUCUGGCCCAGUUGAAGAAAGUGGAGGGCAUGUCUUCCCUGAAAGAGAAGGGAGGCAGCUCUGGGAAGACCCUGCUUCUGUGCAGUGAAAGGGAAGCCCUCACAAGCUGUUCUUAAUUGAGGCGUUGUGGAUGCUUUAGAGGGUGUGUCCCAGGAGACCCUGAAAAUGUCAGAAGCCAGACCCCACGAGGAGGCCUGUUGUGUACCGGGUCCGAGAACACUUGCUCAAGCAUGUGUGUUUGUGUAUGUGGCAUAUGUGUGUGCAUGCAUGUGUGCACAUAUGCAUGCACGUGUCUGCAUACGCCACCUGAACAGUGCGGGAGGGUGUGAUGAGUCAGCAGGGUUGCCGUAGUGACCCAGUGGACUGCGACCUCCAGCCAGUGGGCACACCAUGUCUCUGAUUUCUCACGGGUGGGUGACGUGGUUUUGAGAACCAGAGGGGCCUGACAGCCCCGCUUGCUGAUGCUUCCUGAGCACCUUAGCCCGGACCCUGGGGUGUGGAGGAGGAGAGGCGCUGCUGCCCUCACCCUUUCCGCGAGGAGCAUGUGGCACAAAAAUGGAGGCUGGUGAGUGCUGUGCGUGAGGCAUGCCAGCUCCUCCAAGGCAGAGGUCAGGGUGCUCCCUGGAGGGGGUGACGGCCAUGCCAAAACUUUAAGGUUACAGGGGACGCAACGCGAGGAGGGGCCUGAGGCUGGGCACGGGCAGGGGACACCCAAACCAUCCUGCAUGGAC
Long non-coding RNA from Sapajus apella (tufted capuchin), 1405 nucleotides. RefSeq lists it as uncharacterized. The transcript has 2 exons. The record is from RefSeq and is a predicted model, not a curated record. Lineage: Eukaryota; Metazoa; Chordata; Mammalia; Primates; Cebidae.